CCUACGGGUCGCAGUAGUGGGGAAUAUUGGACAAUGGGCGAAAGCCUGAUCCAGCCAUGCCGCGUGUGUGAAGAAGGCCUUCGGGUUGUAAAGCACUUUCAGUGGGGAAGAAAGCCUUGGGGCUAAUACCCUCGAGGAAGGACAUCACCCACAGAAGAAGCACCGGCUAACUCCGUGCCAGCAGCCGCGGUAAUACGGAGGGUGCGAGCGUUAAUCGGAAUUACUGGGCGUAAAGCGCGCGUAGGCGGUCUGAUAAGCCGGUUGUGAAAGCCCCGGGCUCAACCUGGGAACGGCAUCCGGAACUGUCAGGCUAGAGUGCAGGAGAGGAAGGUAGAAUUCCCGGUGUAGCGGUGAAAUGCGUAGAGAUCGGGAGGAAUACCAGUGGCGAAGGCGGCCUUCUGGACUGACACUGACGCUGAGGUGCGAAAGCGUGGGUAGCAAACAGGAUUAGAUACCCUAGUAGUC
This 465-nucleotide ribosomal RNA is filed under the name Vreelandella stevensii. RNAcentral's name for it is "partial 16S ribosomal RNA". It matches the Rfam family "Bacterial small subunit ribosomal RNA", at positions 338 to 795 of the family's 1533-position model. The record is from RNAcentral. Lineage: Bacteria; Pseudomonadati; Pseudomonadota; Gammaproteobacteria; Oceanospirillales; Halomonadaceae.